Molecule: ribosomal RNA, 479 nt
Filed under: uncultured bacterium
Lineage: Bacteria
Description: partial 16S ribosomal RNA
Rfam family: Bacterial small subunit ribosomal RNA
Source: RNAcentral
GAUGAACGCUGGCGGCGUGCUUAACACAUGCAAGUCGAGCGAGAAGUUUUGAAAGGAUUCUUCGGAUGAAAUUUAAAAUGGAAAGCGGCGGACGGGUGAGUAACGCGUAGGCAACCUGCCCCAUACAAAGGGAUAGCAUUUGGAAACGAAUAUUAAUACCUUAUGAAACUUAACUAGUGCAUGCUAGGUAGGUCAAAGAUUUAUCGGUAUGGGAUGGGCCUGCGUCUGAUUAGCUAGUUGGUGAGGUAACGGCUCACCAAGGCGACGAUCAGUAGCCGACCUGAGAGGGUGAACGGCCACAUUGGAACUGAGACACGGUCCAAACUCCUACGGGAGGCAGCAGUGGGGAAUAUUGCACAAUGGGGGAAACCCUGAUGCAGCAACGCCGCGUGAACGAUGAAGGCCUUUGGGUCGUAAAGUUCUGUUCUAGGUGAUGAAAACCGACAGUAACCUAGGAGAAAGCCCCGGCUAACUCCGUG